GAUCCUGUUGGGGGGGGUGUUCACGAAUGGCUGCAAGAACAUCAGGUCCGACUGCAGACUGCCUUUGACGGGGCUCGAGCCCGUCUGGAGACCGCCGCGGCCCGUCGGAAAAGGAACCAUGACUCACAGGUGCGUGAUGCACCACUGGGGGAGGGUCAGUUGGUAUUCUUACGCAAUGUUGGCGUACGGGGGCGUCACAAAAUCCAGGACCUGUGGAGCCCGGUGGUGUAUCGGGUUGUUAAGGCGCCUGGCGCAGGCGGAUCUGUAUAUACGAUAGCUCCCGUGCACAGUCUUGACCAGACUCGACAUGUCCAUCGGUCCUUGUUGAAGGUUGUCCUGGGGACCCACCCACCCACGUCAGUUGAUCCACAUGAGGCGCCCACCAGCAGUGCGCCUCAAGAAACAUCCUCCACUGAACUAGAGUCAGCUGAAGAAAUGGAUUUAAUGGCCGUGUGCCAGGGGUUGCCCGUAGUCAACAUCCACAACCCGUCCGUAUCUUCAGGAGCAUCACCGCCCCGGGCAGUGGGCGAGCCUGGAGUGGAGGGAUCUGCUGUGGUAGUACCGUCAUCUUCCAGGGUGGUUGGACAGCCACCGGCUAUUGUGGUGACCGCGGUCCUCGAGCCUCCGGCCCGUGAGGAGACCCAGGGCAGCACUGUCCGAAGAUCAUCCCGUUCCACCGCAGGACAGCACUCAAAUGUCCACCACUUACCAAGGCCUGUAAGUGGAUCAGCAGAUGGGGUGGUGACACACCCAGCCUCUGUUUCCAUCCCGAACGCCAUUGGAACAAGUCAGGCUUCUUCAGAGCCCUAAUCGCCGGGACGGCGAUUCACAAAGGGGGGGUGGAUUGUAGCAGGAUGGAAUUGGCAUUGCGUAAUAGGAGUGAUUGACAGCUCGUGACUGACAGCAAGGGGCGGGCUGAAGUCUAUUUAUCCAGGUAGACACUGGUUUCCUGUCUCGCUUCCGUUUCCAUUGGGACCUGUUUUGGUGUGAGGUUGGGCUGUGUUGGCCACCGAGAGGCCGCGGAUGAACUGCGAAGGUGAGCAUGUGUUCUGUUGUAUUUACCGGCAAUUGAGUUCUGUGACUUGGAAUUAUAGCGACGCUUCCUUUUGCAGAGCGGCGUUACUCACCUGCAUUUCUGAUCGUUUGAAGCGCACUGUAACCUACGUGGCGCUUAGGAGCCAGGAGCUGGCUGAUAGGCCAGUUAGCCUGCUCGAGGUAAUUGGUGUGGCGUGGCGAUCCUUGGAAACGCUGUGCCGGUGACUCGCUUGUUUUAAGCUUUCAUCGGCGGCCCCUCCGGCAAGAACCAGCCAGUGUGUGGAACCCAUUGAGUGUAGUACGUCGGCAGCCUGGUGGUGAGAGGAACCCCUUGUGUGCGCACACAGUGAAAGAUAAGUAGUACUACAGAUCCUUAUAGGUUUAGUGAUCUCAGUGGUGCCCCAGGCUGCACGACCAGGUUCAUUCCUUUCUCUCUCUUACUUGCGUUCUCUCUCUCUCUCGCUCUUUCGCUCUCUCUCUCUCUCUCUCUCUCUCUCUCUCUCUCUCUCUCUCUCUCUCUCUCUCUCUCUCUCUCUCUCUCUCUCGGGGGCCCCUCCCCCGCUACUGUGUACUGUGCCCGAUCGGGCUUUUUGCGACCUUGCACAUUGUUUUAAUAUUUUUGUCUUGCACAUUUGUACAACAAUAAAAGAGAAUUAUAUUUGGGAUCCCGUCUCUGUCCUGUGUAUUUCGAACUUGUGCUAAUUUAAGGUUUAGAUAUUUCCUGGAGGUAAAAUUGCCCUGCCUCUAGGUGGCGUAGUCGCUACAAAC
This is a long non-coding RNA of Engraulis encrasicolus (European anchovy), 1803 nucleotides long. RefSeq lists it as uncharacterized. NCBI's taxonomy places the organism in Eukaryota, Metazoa, Chordata, Actinopteri, Clupeiformes, Engraulidae. The record is from RefSeq and is a predicted model, not a curated record. The transcript has 4 exons.